UUUUAAAUUAUUUAAUUAUUUUAUUAUUUAUAAAUUAUAUUAUAGAAAUAACUUUUGUUUUAGUAAUAUUUAAUGAAUUAAUUGAUUGUUUAAUAGUUUAUUUUACUGUGAAGGAUUAUUAAUUAAAAUAUUAAAAGUAGAAUUAGAUUUUUGUACCUUUUGUAUCAGGGUUUAUUAAUUUUGUUUUAUAUAUUUAUAAAAUUCCCGAAAAUAAGAGAGAUAUUAAUAUUUGUUAUUUAAUGUAUUAAAUUUAUUAAUUAAAUAUUAAUAGGUGUUAUAUGCUAUUCAUUCUUAUAUAUCUGGUUUCUUAAUAAUUGAAUUUAAUUCAGGAUGAGGAUUUUAAAUUUAGUAAUUUAUUUAAAUUUAAAUUCUUAAUCUAAAAUUUUUAAGGAUAAGCUUAUAAAUUUUUCUAUAAUUUUAAAAAUAUUAAAAUCUUGUAGGAUUAGAAAUUUUCAUCAUUUAUUUUGUUAUAAUUAAAUUUUAAUUAUAAUUCAUUUUAUUUAUAUUUAGAUAUAUAUUAAGAAUAAUCAUUUAAUGAUUAAUUGAUUGUUAUAAUGAUAGAAUUAGUAAAAUAAUUAAUUAUAAUUAAUGUAUAGUAAUUCGGCAAUAAUAUUCUUCACCUGUUUAACAAAAACAUGGCUUAAUGUAUUUAUAUAUUAGGUUUGACCUGCUCAAUGAUAUUUUUAUUAAAUAGCCGCAGUAUUUUGACUGUGCGAAGGUAGCAUAAUCAUUUGUCUUUUAAUUGAAGGCUAGCAUGAAUGGUUGGAUGAGGGAAUAACUUUCUUUACAUUAAUAAUUGAAUUUAAUAUUUAGGUUAAAAAGCUUAAAUUUAUAAAAGGGACGAGAAGACCCUAUAGAAUUUUAUUUUUAUAUUGAAAUUUUUAUUUUGGUUAAUUUGUUAAGAUUUUGUUAUAGGAAUUUUGUUGGGGUGACAGUGAGAUUAAAUUAACUCUUAUAAUUAAUAUUAUUGUUUAUGAGCAUAUUGUAGAUCCUAUUUUAUGGAUAUAUAGAUUAAAUUACCUUAGGGAUAACAGCGUAAUUUUUCUGGAGAGUUCAUAUCGAUAGAAGAGUUUGCGACCUCGAUGUUGGAUUAAAAUUAAAUUUAAGUGCAGAAGCUUAAUUUUUAGGUCUGUUCGACCUUUAAAUUUUUACAUGAUCUGAGUUCAGACCGGCGUGAGCCAGGUCGGUUUCUAUCUUUUUAUUUAAUUAUGUAAAUUAGUACGAAAGGACCAUUUACUUCAAUAAUUUUGUUUUAUUUUGAAUAUUUUA
This 1269-nucleotide ribosomal RNA is filed under the name Carbula sinica. RNAcentral's name for it is "16S ribosomal RNA". The stretch from base 835 to 1199 matches the Rfam family "Archaeal large subunit ribosomal RNA", at positions 2151 to 2715 of the family's 2987-position model. Lineage: Eukaryota; Metazoa; Arthropoda; Insecta; Hemiptera; Pentatomidae. The record is from RNAcentral.